This 267-nucleotide ribosomal RNA is filed under the name Nanos sp. 1 HKW-2010. RNAcentral's name for it is "partial 28S ribosomal RNA". It matches the Rfam family "Eukaryotic large subunit ribosomal RNA", at positions 688 to 921 of the family's 3401-position model. Lineage: Eukaryota; Metazoa; Arthropoda; Insecta; Coleoptera; Scarabaeidae. The record is from RNAcentral. RNAcentral also lists the same sequence under 1 other name.
GAGUCAUUGGGACUCUGUUAAACCUAAAGGCGCAAUGAAAGUAAAGGUCCGCCUCGCGCGGACCGAGGGAGGAUGGGCCCGUCUCCGGACGGGCCCCGCACUCCCGGGGCGUCUCGUCCUCAUCGCGAGGAGAGGCGCACCCAGAGCGUACACGCUGGGACCCGAAAGAUGGUGAACUAUGCCUGGUCAGGACGAAGUCAGGGGAAACCCUGAUGGAGGUCCGUAGCGAUUCUGACGUGCAAAUCGAUCGUCGGAACUGGGUAUAGG